RNAcentral lists this ribosomal RNA (251 nucleotides) under uncultured prokaryote. RNAcentral's name for it is "partial 16S rRNA". It matches the Rfam family "Bacterial small subunit ribosomal RNA", at positions 525 to 775 of the family's 1533-position model. The record is from RNAcentral.
ACGGAGGAUCCAAGCGUUAUCCGGAUUUAUUGGGUUUAAAGGGUGCGUAGGCGGAUUAUUAAGUCAGUGUUGAAAGACUAAAGCUCAACUUUAGAAGUGGCAUUGAUACUGGUAGUCUUGAGUACAGAUGAAGUGGGCGGAAUGUGUCAUGUAGCGGUGAAAUGCAUAGAUAUGACACAGAACACCGAUUGCGAAGGCAGCUCACUAAGUUGUAACUGACGCUGAGGCACGAAAGCGUGGGGAUCAAACAG